GAAAUGCGAUACGUCAUGCGAAUUGCAAAACCAGUGAGUCAUCAAAACUUUGAACGCAACUUGCACUUCCCUUUGGGGAGUAUGUCUGUUGGAGUGCUUGUUCAUCCCCACCAUCAACCCCAUUCCUUAACAAGUCUGGUGUGUUGUUUGAAGACCGCCUCUUUAUCUUACGAUAAAUAGAGCGUAGAUGAAUCAACAAUCAAAUAUCCGAUCCUUGAUUCGUAAUCAGUAUUGCCUCACAAGGGUAAUAUACGACAUCAGGAACGCGACGUCAUAGUGUAAAAACUUUCGAAUCGUGUUUCUAUGUUUGAUGAAAGAUGAUAGAUUAAUUGAAUAUUUUCGAUCGAGCCUCCAAUCAGUCAAGAAUACCCGCUGAAUUUAA
Molecule: unclassified non-coding RNA, 382 nt
Filed under: uncultured fungus
Lineage: Eukaryota; Fungi
Description: sequence contains ITS1
Rfam family: 5.8S ribosomal RNA (bases 1-99)
Source: RNAcentral